This 429-nucleotide ribosomal RNA is filed under the name Chloroflexota bacterium. RNAcentral describes it as "Chloroflexi bacterium partial 16S ribosomal RNA". It matches the Rfam family "Bacterial small subunit ribosomal RNA", at positions 355 to 776 of the family's 1533-position model. The record is from RNAcentral. Lineage: Bacteria; Bacillati; Chloroflexota.
UGGGGAAUAUUGCACAAUGGGCGCAAGCCUGAUGCAGCCAUGCCGCGUGUAUGAAGAAGGCCUUCGGGUUGUAAAGUACUUUCAGCGGGGAGGAAGGGAGUAAAGUUAAUACCUUUGCUCAUUGACGUUACCCGCAGAAGAAGCACCGGCUAACCCCGUGCCAGCAGCCGCGGUAAUACGGAGGGUGCAAGCGUUAAUCGGAAUUACUGGGCGUAAAGCGCACGCAGGCGGUUUGUUAAGUCAGAUGUGAAAUCCCCGGGCUCAACCUGGGAACUGCAUCUGAUACUGGCAAGCUUGAAUCUCGUAGAGGGGAGUAGAAUUCCAGGUGUAGCGGUGAAAAGCGUAGAGAUCUGGAGGAAUACCGGUGGCGAAGGCAGCCCCCUGGACGAAGACUGACGCUCAGGUGCGAAAACGUGGGGAGCAAACAGG